AGUCUGGUGCCAGCAGCCGCGGCAAUACCAGCUCUUCUAGCAUAUAUUAAAGUUGCUGCAGUUAAAACGCUCGUAGUUUGAAUUAUUUCGGUGGCAGGCUGGCUGGAAAAUUUAAUUUUUCAAGCUGUCUGGUGCCGAAUUAAAGCUUGGGUAGAGUAGAUUAAUUUCUCUUUAUCCAUUUAACCUUGAAAAAACAUUGUCGCUCAAAAAAGGACGGAAAAGUCUAUUGAGAUUUCAGCAUGGGAUUAUGAAAAAAGGGAGGCGAGUGCGAAAGGGGGUAAAAGCCCGAUUGGCUCGUUUCCAAUGGUUAAUGAGGACGAUGCGUGGGAGUUCAUAUUAAUAAGUCAGAGGUGAAAUUCUUGGAUUUUAUUAAGAUGAACAUCAGCGAAGGCGUUCUUCAAGUGCGUGCCUGUCGAUCAAGAACGAAAGUUGGGGGAUCGAAGACGAUCAGAUACCGUCGUAGUCUCAACCUUAAACUAUGCCGACUAUGAAUAGGAUAUCGUUUUAAGAAGGGCGUCAAAAACCCUUCUGAUGACUUCUCCUGCGCAUUAAAAGAAAUUAAGAGUUUUUGGGUUCCGGGGGGAGUAUAGUCGCAAGGCCGAAACUUAAAGGAAUUGACGGAAGGGCACCACCAGGUGUGGAGCCUGCGGCUUAAUUUGACCCAACACGGGGAAACUUACCAGGUCCAGACAGCGUGAGGAUUGACAGAUUGAUAGCUCUUUCAUGAUUCGUUGGGUGGUGGUGCAUGGCCGUUCUUAGUUGGUGGUGUGAGUUGUCUGGUUGAUUCCGUUAACGAACGAGACCUUCGUUGUAUAAUACGAGGCGCUAGUUAGUAUCAAGGGUAGUGGUUCCUUCUUGAGAUACGAGCAAUCGCCUUGGGAAAAGGAUCAUUACUUGCAUAGCUAGCGUCAGUUUCGUUCUAUACAAGACAAAUACAGAAAAUGUAUUGGAAGUUGUAGGCAAAAACAGGUCUGUGAUGCCCUUCGAUGUUCUGGGCUGCACGCGCGCUACAAUGACAAUGUCAGCGAGUUUUUAGCUUGGGCGAAAGCUCUGGCAAAUCUUCGAAACGUUGUCGUACUAUGGAUUGUUGAUUGCAACUAUUCGACAUAAAACAGGAAUACCUAGUAGACGUGCUUCAUCAGAGUACGUCGAUUACGUCCCUGCCCUUUGUACACACCGCCCGUCGCUCCUACCGAUUGGAACAUACGGUGAAAAUCUCGGAGAGCGCAGUUCUU
Molecule: ribosomal RNA, 1235 nt
Filed under: metagenome
Description: bacterial SSU rRNA
Rfam family: Eukaryotic small subunit ribosomal RNA
Source: RNAcentral